Molecule: transfer RNA, 78 nt
Filed under: Xaviernesmea oryzae
Lineage: Bacteria; Pseudomonadati; Pseudomonadota; Alphaproteobacteria; Hyphomicrobiales; Rhizobiaceae
Description: Rhizobium oryzae tRNA_Met_CAT
Rfam family: tRNA
About the family: Transfer RNA (tRNA) molecules are approximately 80 nucleotides in length. Their secondary structure includes four short double-helical elements and three loops (D, anti-codon, and T loops). Further hydrogen bonds mediate the characteristic L-shaped molecular structure. tRNAs have two regions of fundamental functional importance: the anti-codon, which is responsible for specific mRNA codon recognition, and the 3' end, to which the tRNAs corresponding amino acid is attached (by aminoacyl-tRNA synthetases). tRNAs cope with the degeneracy of the genetic code in two manners: having more than one tRNA (with a specific anti-codon) for a particular amino acid; and 'wobble' base-pairing, i.e. permitting non-standard base-pairing at the 3rd anti-codon position.
Source: RNAcentral
UGUCGGAGUAGAGCGGCCCGGUAGCUCGCCAGCCUCAUAAGCUGGAGGCCGGAGGUUCGAAUCCUCCCUCCGCAACCA